CCUACGGGUGGCAGCAGUGGGGAAUAUUGCACAAUGGGGGAAACCCUGAUGCAGCGACGCCGCGUGAGUGAAGGAGCGUUUCGGCGCGUAAAGCUCUAUCGGCAGGGAAGAAGAUGACGGUACCUGGCCAAGAAGCCCCGGCUAACUACGUGCCAGCAGCCGCGGUAAUACGCAGGGGGCAAGCGUUAUCCGGAUGUACUGGGUGUAAAGGGGGCGCAGACGGCAAUGCAAGCCAGGAGUGAAAGCCCGGGGCCCAACCCCGGGACUGCUCUUGGAACUGCAUGGCUGGAGUACAGGAGGGGCAGGCGGAAUUCCUAGUGUAGCGGUGAAAUGCGUAGAUAUUAGGAGGAACACCGGUGGCGAAGGCGGCCUGCUGGACUGUGACUGACGUUGAGGCCCGAAGGCGUGGGGAGCAAACAGGAUUAGAUACCCGUGUAGUC
Molecule: ribosomal RNA, 440 nt
Filed under: uncultured bacterium
Lineage: Bacteria
Description: partial 16S ribosomal RNA
Rfam family: Bacterial small subunit ribosomal RNA
Source: RNAcentral